AGAUUGAACGCUGGCGGCAUGCCUAACACAUGCAAGUCGAACGGGGAGUAGCAAUACUCUAGUGGCGGACGGGUGAGGAAUACGUAGGAAUUUUGCCCUUAAGUGGGGGAUAACCCGGGGAAACCCGGAUUAAUACCGCAUGACCUCGAAAGAGCAAAGUGGGGGAUCGCAAGACCUCACGCUUUUGGAGAAGCCUACGUCGGAUUAGCUAGUUGGUGAGGUAAUGGCUCACCAAGGCGACGAUCCGUAACUGGUCUGAGAGGAUGAUCAGUCACACCGGAACUGAGACACGGUCCGGACUCCUACGGGGAGCAGCAGUGGGGAAUAUCGGACAAUGGGCGCAAGCCUGAUCCAGCAAUGCCGCGUGUGCGAAGA
Molecule: ribosomal RNA, 375 nt
Filed under: uncultured soil bacterium
Lineage: Bacteria
Description: bacterial SSU rRNA
Rfam family: Bacterial small subunit ribosomal RNA
Source: RNAcentral